Molecule: unclassified non-coding RNA, 348 nt
Filed under: Hevea brasiliensis (rubber tree)
Lineage: Eukaryota; Viridiplantae; Streptophyta; Magnoliopsida; Malpighiales; Euphorbiaceae
Source: RNAcentral
CUCUCACGUUUGCUUUCUUAUAAUACCUCUCUCUCUUUCCUCUCUCCUUGCUCUUACCCAUCUUUCGCUCUCAGUCUCUCUCAAACCCAAAUACAAACCAAAAGAGAGGGACUUCUAUUCCUUCACUACAAAACUCAUCCCCCAAGAGCCACCAAACCCUAAUUCUGUCUACCAUGGACGAUUCAACUCAGCAACUUCAACAGGCUCAACUCGCCGCCAUACUUGGCCAGGACCCUGCCCCUUUUGAAACCCUAAUCUCUUCUCUCAUGUCUUCCUCCAACGAACAACGAUCGCAGGCUGAGCUUGCGUUUAACCUCUGCAAGCAGACCGAUCCCGAUUCUCUUUCCC